Vitis vinifera (wine grape) is the source of this 2078-nucleotide RNA transcript. RefSeq lists it as uncharacterized. The record is from RefSeq and is a predicted model, not a curated record. NCBI's taxonomy places the organism in Eukaryota, Viridiplantae, Streptophyta, Magnoliopsida, Vitales, Vitaceae. The transcript is spliced from 9 exons.
GAGGCCCAACCCACGCCCCAAAACACCGAAAAAGGCCCUCAAGCCAAAAAGAGUGAAGCAGCCUUUGAAAAUUGAAACACCGUAACCUUCCUCCGCGGCCUUUCUCCUCAACCUCUGUCUCCUAAAUGUACAGGCAUUCUUUAGCUGGGUGCUGCUUUCUAGUUAAAAAUGUGUCAAAACUCUCAUCAUUAUAUAAAGCCGCGACCAAUUCCUCGACCUUUAUGCUAUCUCAUGUCAUGCAAAUGCACCCAAGAAGCUACAAGGUAGCUGCAGGGGAGUGUGUAUGGUCUCCAUGCAAUACUUUGUUGUGGCAUGGGUCCAACAUGGUUGGGUGUGGUGAUGCUCUUUCAAAAUGGGCACGAGCUAGGUACAUGAGCAAUACAUCCAUUGAACUGAAGCCGGACAGUGAUGUUGUCAGAUUUAAUAUUGGUGAGCUGCCUGGUAAAACUGGGACCUCAAAGAAAGGGAAGAAGAAAAUGAGACGAGUUAAAAUGUCUAGGAAAGCCAAAUUGAAUGAACUCAGGUUCUACAGACUAAAGGCAAAAAAGAAGAUGACAUCUCCGAAUCCAGAAGUUAGGAUUCGGUACAAACUUGAAAAGGCUAAAAGAAAGGAAGAAUGGUUGAUUGAGAAGCUGAGGAAAUUUGAUAUUCCUAAAGCCCCCACUGAAGCAUAUGAUCCUGAAAUUCUGACCGAGGAAGAGAAAUUUUACCUAAAGCGUACUGGUGAGAAAAAGAAGAAUUAUGUUCCAGUUGGGAGGCGAGGCGUUUUUGGGGGUGUUGUUCUCAACAUGCAUCUCCAUUGGAAGAAGCAUGAGACUGUAAAGGUUAUCUGCAAACCUUGCAAGGUUGGGCAGGUUUAUGAAUAUGCUGAAGAGCUUGCCCGGCUGAGCAAAGGCAUCAUGAUCGACAUAAAGCCUAACAACACCAUAAUAUUCUACCGAGGAAAGAACUAUGUACAGCCACAAGUUAUGUCACCCCCUGAUACCCUUUCCAAAAGCAAGGCUUUGGAAAAGUAUAGGUAUGAGCAGUCCCUGGAGCAUACAAGUCAGUUUAUUGAGAAAUUGGAGAAUGAGCUAGAAGAGUAUCAUAAACACCUUGCUCAGUACAGGAAACAGAAGGAAAAUCAACCCUGACAUUCUUUGGUUAACGCUAGGUGAUGGGAUAUUUAAUACUCUAUGGAAAGUGGAGCAUGUUGACACUUUUUUGAAGUGGGCCUUGGUUAAAUCCAAGAAGUUGAAAUCUCAGUUCACUGAGCUCUUCCAGCAAAGUGUGAGGAGGAAAUAGGCAUGUCCCUUCUAUCUAACAUGGAACUUGUGACAUCUUCUAUAGGAGCAGGGCUUUGAGGGUCCAAAAUAGACUUGGUGGUGGAGUUGGUCUUUCUCCACUGAACACUUCGUGAUUGGUUUGAGAAUCUUGGUUUGGUGGCUAGAGCUGAAGGCUCAUCAAGUUUAAGAUCUCUCAUCAUUGUUGGAUGCAACUCUUCAUCAGAGGCAAUGUGUGUUUGUAUUCCCAUAAGCUGGAUUUUCCUAAGGUCACCAGAUUAUUCAUUUUCCAUCACCUUUGAUCAUUGAAGGGGGAAUCAAAGCUGAUCAAUAAUGUAUAUUUACUCUUUGUUUUGUGUUGCUGUACGGCAAGAAGGCUUGAAUUAAACGUCAACCAUCUUGAUUCAAAAUUUGUUUUUACUUCAGAUUUUGGCAGCCAUUCAAAUUUUGAAGAAAAAGGACAUUGUAUUGAUGGGGAGGCAGCCUACUGAAUCAUGGGGACAGCCUACAAGUUUGCUUCUUCCAUUUGUUGCUGCCUGGAUGGAGAGCAGAGUUUGGUUGAUGGUUGGUAUGUAGCUGUUUUAUCCAAAAUGGGCUACAAGGUGGGGAUAGAGUGGAACAUCCUUGUAUUUCUUUUUCCUCCAUUGCUUUAGCUCCACACAGUUGUAGGCUUGUAGCUUGGCCUUCAAUAAAGAGAGGUUACUGACUCGCUAUGGAAGGGUUUUCAUUCCAUCCUCUGCCUGAUUACUUCUGUGGAAACCACUGGAGUUGUAUCCUUUUCCAAAUAUAAUACUAUAAUCGAUCACUUUGGGCUGA